This 372-nucleotide ribosomal RNA is filed under the name uncultured organism. RNAcentral describes it as "bacterial SSU rRNA". It matches the Rfam family "Bacterial small subunit ribosomal RNA", at positions 526 to 896 of the family's 1533-position model. The record is from RNAcentral.
CGAAGGGUGCAAGCGUUACUCGGAAUUACUGGGCGUAAAGCGUGCGUAGGUGGUUUGUUAAGUCUGAUGUGAAAGCCCUGGGCUCAACCUGGGAAUGGCAUUGGAUACUGGCGAGCUAGAGUGCGGUAGAGGGCAGUGGAAUUCCCGGUGUAGCAGUGAAAUGCGUAGAGAUCGGGAGGAACAUCUGUGGCGAAGGCGACUGCCUGGACCAGCACUGACACUGAGGCACGAAAGCGUGGGGAGCAAACAGGAUUAGAUACCCUGGUAGUCCACGCCCUAAACGAUGCGAACUGGAUGUUGGGUGCAAUUAGGCACUCAGUAUCGAAGCUAACGCGUUAAGUUCGCCGCCUGGGGAGUACGGUCGCAAGACUG